Molecule: ribosomal RNA, 535 nt
Filed under: Sungouiella intermedia
Lineage: Eukaryota; Fungi; Ascomycota; Pichiomycetes; Serinales; Metschnikowiaceae
Description: LSU rRNA
Rfam family: Eukaryotic large subunit ribosomal RNA
Source: RNAcentral
GGAGGAAAAGAAACCAACAGGGAUUGCCUCAGUAACGGCGAGUGAAGCGGCAAAAGCUCAAAUUUGAAAUCCUUCGGGAGUUGUAAUUUGUAGGUUGGGAGACCCCGCGGCUAGUGGCACCAAGUCCCUUGGAACAGGGCGCCUUAGAGGGUGAGAGCCCCGUAGGUACCACAAUACCGUCUUGUGUCUCCUCUCCAAAGAGUCGAGUUGUUUGGGAAUGCAGCUCAAAGUGGGUGGUAAAUUCCAUCUAAAGCUAAAUACCGGCGAGAGACCGAUAGCGAACAAGUACAGUGAUGGAAAGAUGAAAAGCACUUUGAAAAGAGAGUGAAACAGUACGUGAAAUUGUUGAAAGGGAAGGGCUUGCAAGCAGACACGGCCUUCGUGCCGGGCCAGCAUCGGUUGCUAGGGGUGGAUAAGGAACAAGGAAUGUAGCUCCUCGGAGUAUUAUAGCCUUGCGCGAUACACCCACUGGCGACCGAGGCCUGCGGUAUUCUUUACCUAGGAUGCUGGCGUAAUGGUUGCAAGCCGCCCGUCU